This 2571-nucleotide ribosomal RNA is filed under the name Triticum aestivum (bread wheat). RNAcentral's name for it is "partial small subunit ribosomal RNA". Lineage: Eukaryota; Viridiplantae; Streptophyta; Magnoliopsida; Poales; Poaceae. The record is from RNAcentral.
AUGUCUCGGCUAUCCAGCAUGAGUUUAAUUCCGAACUUCACAGUUGCCAAAGGUUCUAAGUGCCAUAGUUGUGUGCAAUCUAAGCAACCUCGAAAGCCUCAUAAGGCUGCCGAGGAGAGAAACUCGGCACCUCUAGAACUCAUACAUUCUGAUCUUUGUGAGAUGAAUGGUGUGUUGACAAAAGGUGGAAAGAGAUAUUUCAUGACUUUGAUUGAUGAUGCGACUAGAUUUUGCUAUGUUUAUUUGUUGCAAACUAAAGAUGAAGCAUUAGACUACUUUAAAAUCUAUAAAGCUGAAGUUAAAAAUCAACUAGAGAGAAAGAUCAAGCGUCUUAGGUCCGAUCGUGGUGGAGAGUAUUUUCCAAAAGUUUUUGAUGAAUUUUGUGAGGAACAUGGUAUUAUUCAUGAGAGGACGCCUCCCUAUUCACCUCAAUCAAAUGGAGUGGCCGAGAGGAAAAACCGCACAUUGACUGACUUGGUGAAUGCCAUGUUAGACACUGCUGGUUUAUCUAAGGCAUGGUGGGGGGAGGCUCUAUUGACUUCAUGUCAUGUCCUGAAUAGAGUUCCGAACAAUAAUAAAGAGAAAACCCCUUAUGAGGAGUGGGUUGGGAGAAAACCAUCACUUUCUUAUUUGCGCACUUGGGGAUGUUUGGCAAAGGUCAAUAUUCCUAUUCCUAAGAAACGCAAACUUGGACCAAAGACAGUGGAUUGUGUCUUUCUAGGGUAUGCUCAACGGAGCAUUGCUUAUAGGUUUUUAUUGGUAAAAUCUGAAGUACCUGAUAUGCAUGUUGAUACUAUAAUGGAAUCUCGUGAUGCAACAUUUUUUGAGAACAUAUUUCCUAUGAAAGAUAUGCAUAGCAUUGCUAGAUUUUCUUCUGAGAUAAUUCCUGAAUCUAGUACAACUGAUGAAUAUUUCGAACAAUCACAUGAGGAAGUCCUUGAGAAGGAUAACAAUGAAGUUCCUAGAAGGAACAAGAGACAAAGGAUUGCAAAAUCCUUUGGUGAUGAUUUCAUUGUAUACCUUGUGGACGACACACCCAAGACGAUUGCAGAAGCAUAUGCAUCUCCGGAUGUAGAUGAUUGGAAAGAAGCUGUUCAUAAUGAGAUGGACUCAAUUCUUUCUAAUGGAACUUGGGAACUAACUGAUAGACCAUAUGGUUGUAAACCUGUGGGCUGUAAGUGGGUGUUCAAAAAGAAGCUAAAGCCUGAUGGUACUAUUGAUAAGUACAAGGCGCGGCUAGUGGCCAAGGGCUACACUCAGAAAGAAGGCGAAGAUUACUUUGACACCUAUUCACCCGUUGCCAGAAUGACCACCAUUCGAGUGUUACUUUCCUUGGCUGCCUCUUAUGGUCUUAUCAUUCAUCAAAUGGAUGUAAAGACAGCUUUUCUCAAUGGAGAGUUGGAAGAGGAGAUCUAUAUGGAUCAGCCUGACGGGUUUGUGGUAAAGGGUGAAGAGAGAAAGGUGUGCAAGUUGUUAAAAUCUUUGUAUGGUCUGAAACAGGCACCUAAGCAAUGGCAUGAGAAGUUUGAAAGAACUCUGACUUCUGCAGGAUUUGUCAUUAACGAGGCUGAUAGGUGUGUUUACUAUCGCCAUGGUGGGGGCAAUAGUGUCAUAUUAUGUUUGUAUGUGGACGACAUACUGAUCUUUGGUACAAACAUUAAUGCAAUUAAUGAGGUCAAGUCUUUUCUAUCAAAAAGUUUUGACAUGAAAGAUCUGGGAGAAGCCGAUGUAAUUCUAAACAUCAAACUUAUUAAGGAUGAGAGUGGGAUUACAUUAACGCAAUCUCACUAUGUUGAGAAGGUCUUGAACCGAUUCGGUUUUAUGGAUAGCAAGCCUUCUCCAACACCUUAUGAUCCCAGCGUGACACUCAGAAAGAACAAAAAAGAAACGAGAGAUCAAUUAAGAUACUCUCAAAUUGUCGGUUCACUCAUGUACUUAGCUAGCGCUACAAGACCAGAUAUCUCUUUUGCUGUGAUCAAACUGAGUAGGUUCAUGUCCAACCCGGGUGAUGAUCAUUGGCAUGCACUAGAAAGGGUCUUGCGCUAUCUGAGAGGUACUAUGAGUUACGGAAUUACUUAUUCAGGGCAUCCUGCUGUGCUAGAAGGAUAUAGUGAUUCAAAUUGGAUCUCCGAUGUUGAUGUACUUUACGCAACAAGUGGGUAUGUAUUUACUCAUGGUGGUGGCGCAGUGUCAUGGAGGUCUUGCAAGCAAACCAUAUUGACGAGGUCAACUAUGGAAGCAGAAUUAACUACUUUGGACACAGCUACUGUUGAGGCAGAAUGGCUGCGUGAGCUCUUGAUGGACUUGCCGGUUGUUGAAAAACCUGUACCGGCUAUUCUUAUGAAUUGUGAUAACCAAACAGUUAUCGCUAAAGUGAACAAUUCUAAAGAUAAUGCAAAGUCAUCAAGACACGUGAAAAGACGUUUGAAGUCUGUCAGGAAGUUGAGAAACUCUGGAGUAAUAACUGUUACGUAUAUACAAACAGACAAAAACCUGGCAGAUCCCUUUACAAAGGGACUAUCACGAAAUGUGAUAGAUAUUGCAUCGAGGGAGAUGGGUAUGAGACCCAUA